GUUAGUGCAUGUGCAUCACCAAACCCAAAGCUGCAGAAAAAGGAAUUUCCAAGAUCAAGAAAAAUGAAUAUCAAAGAAACAUAAAGGUUAUGCCCAGGGGUCCUGUUCUAGAUGUUAUGGGAGAAUGGCUUGUUGCCUUCACUGGGAGCUGUGCCUGCUGAAGGAACCCCAGGCUCUUGCAGGCCCUGAAGGUGGGCUCAGGCUCUGAGGACACAGGAUUGAAAAGAAAGGGAGUAAAACAGCACCAUUCAGAGCGGCCUUGAGUUUGGUUUUGUGGUAAUAGGCAGGAGGUGAGUGAA
RNAcentral lists this long non-coding RNA (299 nucleotides) under Parus major (Great Tit). Its description in RNAcentral is "lncRNA (ENSPMJG00000000469.1)". The record is from RNAcentral. Lineage: Eukaryota; Metazoa; Chordata; Aves; Passeriformes; Paridae.